CGAGCGGUGCGGGUGCCCUGCAGGUGCUGGCACGGACACUGCAUGGCACCAAGGCGCCUGGCACCAGCCGUGCCACCAGCCGUGCCACCAGCCGCCCGGCGACAGGGCCAGUAACCGCGUCUUCCGCGGUGACACCUCACUCCAUGCCCUGUGACACUCAGUGCUAGCCGAGGUGACACCGAGGUGACACCUUGCUCCAUGCCCUGUGACACUCUAUGCCAGCUGAGGUGACACCGCGCUCCGUGCCCUGUGACACUCCGUGCUGGCCGAGGUGACACCGAGGUGACACCUCACUCCGUGCCCUGUGACGCUCCGUGCUGGCCGAGGUGACACCUCACUCCGUGCCCUGUGACGCUCCGUGCCAGCCGAGGUGACACCUCACUCCGUGCCCUGUGACGCUCCGUGCCAGCCGAGGUGACACCUCACUCCGUGCCCUGUGACGCUCCGUGCUGGCUGGGGCUGCAGCUGAGCCUCAGAGCCUCCCGCAGGGCUCCUGCUCCGUUUGCCAGCCGUGCUGUUUGGCACGGGGCACUCGGAGCCAUUGCUAAAUCCCACCAGGUUCCUGCCUGCUCCCACAGCUCCUCCUCACCUGGAGCACACCAGAACCAUGCAUUGGGUGUCCCACCUGAGAGAGCGCUGCUCAGCCAGGAGCUGG
Melozone crissalis (California towhee) is the source of this 655-nucleotide long non-coding RNA. RefSeq lists it as uncharacterized. NCBI's taxonomy places the organism in Eukaryota, Metazoa, Chordata, Aves, Passeriformes, Passerellidae. The record is from RefSeq and is a predicted model, not a curated record. The transcript is spliced from 3 exons.